AAGGACGUACGUCGUAAGACAGAGGCCCGGUAGUCGAGUCACCGUACGGGAGGGGGAACCGGUCACAUGGUGUCUCUAUUCCGGUCUUUACAGCUCACUUGCCCAAUUCUGCCGUCUGUCGAGACGAUGAACGGAUGUUACUCACCGAAGUUGUACUCCAUACGAGUGCUCGUCAAGGUAUGAACAAGUUGUACCAAUUUCCGUCCAGCAAAACUUCAAAAUACGCAACACCACACAGGACCACGAGUUGCAUUUAAUAUGCACAACACCAAGACACACAGGUAGCGAGUACGAGUAUGAGUACGAAAACACGACAGAGGAGAGACAAGAUCGGUACCCUGUGAAUAGCUCUACGUGAUACCAUAAUAUAAUUCAUGAGAUACAGAUGGAAGACUGCAACUCGCUGUUGCUGCGCCUCCACUGUAAUCCAUGCCUACACAGGGUCAUUAUACUACAUACUGUACAAGUAUGAUAGCUACUUCACAGGCUUUUGGUGACAUAAUUC
Molecule: unclassified non-coding RNA, 505 nt
Filed under: Yarrowia lipolytica
Lineage: Eukaryota; Fungi; Ascomycota; Dipodascomycetes; Dipodascales
Source: RNAcentral